Molecule: ribosomal RNA, 525 nt
Filed under: uncultured bacterium
Lineage: Bacteria
Description: bacterial SSU rRNA
Rfam family: Bacterial small subunit ribosomal RNA
Source: RNAcentral
AGGGUUCGAUUAUGGCUCAGGAUGAACGCUAGCGGCAGGCUUAACACAUGCAAGUCGAGGGGUAACAGGGAUUGCUUGCAAUCCGCUGACGACCGGCGCACGGGUGCGUAACGCGUAUGCAACCUACCUUUUACAAGGGGAUAGCCCAGAGAAAUUUGGAAUAAUACCCUAUACGAUCAUUAAUUGGCAUCAAUUAAUGAUGAAAACUCCGGUGGUAAAAGAUGGGCAUGCGUCCUAUUAGUUAGUUGGUAAGGUAACGGCUUACCAAGACUUCGAUAGGUAGGGGUCCUGAGAGGGAGAUCCCCCACACUGGUACUGAGACACGGACCAGACUCCUACGGGAGGCAGCAGUGAGGAAUAUUGGACAAUGGAGGCAACUCUGAUCCAGCCAUGCCGCGUGCAGGAAGACGGCCCUACGGGUUGUAAACUGCUCUUAUACAGGAAGAACUAUAUCUACGUGUAGAUAUUUGACGGUACUGUACGAAUAAGGAUCGGCUAACUCCGUGCCAGCCGCCGCGGUAAUAC